UAGUACUAGUAAUAAUGAUCACCCGACUUCUAAUCGUAAAAGAAGAAGUCGGGUAUGGAAUUUUUUUGAAAUAAUAGAAGGUACUAAUAGUAUUAAGUACAAAAUUUGUAACGAAACUUUUCAACAUUUGACCGAAGGAAAUUUAGGAGGGAUUGGACCAUUUACAAGACAUAUGAGAGCUGUCCAUCCUAUAGAAUGGGUCAAUAAUUAUGGGAAGCAAUGAUUUGUAAGUUUUAGACUUUUAGUAUGUUUGNNNN
This 257-nucleotide long non-coding RNA is filed under the name Nicotiana benthamiana. Its description in RNAcentral is "long non-coding RNA (NBEN_LNC020336)". Lineage: Eukaryota; Viridiplantae; Streptophyta; Magnoliopsida; Solanales; Solanaceae. The record is from RNAcentral.